Non-coding RNA from Oncorhynchus mykiss (rainbow trout), 323 nucleotides. The record is from RefSeq and is a predicted model, not a curated record. Lineage: Eukaryota; Metazoa; Chordata; Actinopteri; Salmoniformes; Salmonidae.
AUAUAACUGUUAUAAUCAGGUUACAACAGGCAAUUACGCUCCAAAGCUGUUACGAUAAGACAGUCAGAACGAGAAAAUAAUUUUCAUGAUUUCUGAUCCGUUUGGUUGGUGGUUUCUGAUCCGCAGUAAGGAGGUUUCUGAUCCGCAGUGAGGAGGUUUCUGAUCCGCAGUGAGGAGGUUUCUGAUCCGCAGUGAGGAGGUUUCUGAUCCGCAGUGAGGAGGUUUCUGAUCCGCAGUGAGGAGGUUUCUGAUCCGCAGUGAGGAGGUUUCUGAUCCGCAGUGAGGAGGUUUCUGAUCCGCAGUGAGGAGGUUUCUGAUCCGCA